UGGGGAAUUUUGGACAAUGGGCGAAAGCCUGAUCCAGCAAUGCCGCGUGUGUGAAGAAGGCCUUCGGGUUGUAAAGCACUUUUGUCCGGAAAGAAAUCCUUGGCUCUAAUACAGUCGGGGGAUGACGGUACCGGAAGAAUAAGCACCGGCUAACUACGUGCCAGCAGCCGCGGUAAUACGUAGGGUGCAAGCGUUAAUCGGAAUUACUGGGCGUAAAGCGUGCGCAGGCGGUUUGCUAAGACCGAUGUGAAAUCCCCGGGCUCAACCUGGGAACUGCAUUGGUGACUGGCAGGCUAGAGUAUGGCAGAGGGGGGUAGAAUUCCACGUGGUAGCAGUGAAAUGCGUAGAGAUGUGGAGGAAUACCGAUGGCGAAGGCAGCCCCUGGGCCAAUACUGACGCUCAUGCACGAAAGCGUGGGGAGCAAAACAGGAUUAGAUACCCUGGUAGUCCACGCCCUAAACGAUGUCAACUAGUUG
RNAcentral lists this ribosomal RNA (476 nucleotides) under uncultured bacterium. RNAcentral describes it as "partial 16S ribosomal RNA". It matches the Rfam family "Bacterial small subunit ribosomal RNA", at positions 355 to 822 of the family's 1533-position model. The record is from RNAcentral.